Non-coding RNA from Myodes glareolus (Bank vole), 340 nucleotides. The record is from RefSeq and is a predicted model, not a curated record. NCBI's taxonomy places the organism in Eukaryota, Metazoa, Chordata, Mammalia, Rodentia, Cricetidae.
GGGCAAGUUACUUGGUCCAGCUGACUUUAGGAAUGUCAUAGUGCUCGGUGAGUGUGUCCAGGUGUCGGUUGAAGUCCUGUGAAAGAGAGGUCACAUCAGCGUGAACCAGGCCAAAAUACUGAAUGAGGACCCAGUUCUGAAUACACAGUCUCGGGCUGAAGAAUAAGAAGCAGAUCGUGGCUGGUGAGAUGGCUCAGUGGGUAAAGUUGCUGGCCGCCAAACCGGACAACCUGAGUUUGAUUCUGGGACCCACACAAAGAAAGAGUGAACUGCUUCCCACAAGUUGUCCUCCGACCUCCACAAAUAUACUAUUGUACUCUAGUACACUGGUAACAAUAAA